RNAcentral lists this ribosomal RNA (460 nucleotides) under uncultured bacterium. Its description in RNAcentral is "partial 16S ribosomal RNA". It matches the Rfam family "Bacterial small subunit ribosomal RNA", at positions 338 to 795 of the family's 1533-position model. The record is from RNAcentral.
CCUACGGGCGGCAGCAGUGAGGAAUAUUGGUCAAUGGACGAGAGUCUGAACCAGCCAAGUAGCGUGAAGGAUGACUGCCCUAUGGGUUGUAAACUUCUUUUAUAUGGGAAUAAAAUGUUCCACGUGUGGGAUUUUGUAUGUACCAUAUGCAUAAGGAUCGGCUAACUCCGUGCCAGCAGCCGCGGUAAGACGGAGGAUCCGAGCGUUAUCCGGAUUUAUUGGGUUUAAAGGGAGCGUAGGUGGAUUGUUAAGUCAGUUGUGAAAGUUUGCGGCUCAACCGUAAAAUUGCAGUUGAAACUGGCAGUCUUGAGUACAGUAGAGGUGGGCGGAAUUCGUGGUGUAGCGGUGAAAUGCUUAGAUAUCACGAAGAACUCCGAUUGCGAAGGCAGUUCACUGGACUGCAACUGACACUGAGGCUCGAAAGUGUGGGUAUCAAACAGGAUUAGAUACCCGAGUAGUC